CAGUAGCCGCGGUAAUACGUAGGGUGCAAGCGUUAAUCGGAAUUACUGGGCGUAAAGCGUGCGCAGGCGGUGUUGUAAGACUGAUGUGAAAUCCCCGGGCUCAACCUGGGAAUGGCAGUGGAUACUGGCUCGCUAGAGUGUGUCAGAGGAUGGUGGAAUUCCCGGUGUAGCGGUGAAAUGCGUAGAGAUCGGGAGGAACAUCAGUGGCGAAGGCGGCCAUCUGGGACAACACUGACGCUGAGGCACGAAAGCGUGGGGAGCAAACAGGAUUAGAUACCCGAGUAGUCCCUGUCUCUUAUAA
Molecule: ribosomal RNA, 301 nt
Filed under: uncultured bacterium
Lineage: Bacteria
Description: partial 16S ribosomal RNA
Rfam family: Bacterial small subunit ribosomal RNA
Source: RNAcentral